This 220-nucleotide long non-coding RNA is filed under the name Mytilus galloprovincialis (Mediterranean mussel). Lineage: Eukaryota; Metazoa; Mollusca; Bivalvia; Mytilida; Mytilidae. The record is from RNAcentral.
AAUGUAAAUAGAUUUAGAGAUGUGAGAAAAACGGACGAUGAAGAUAUUAGUAGUUAUGUUUUUCAUGUUCCGAAAUUAGAAAGAUACGCGGAAGUUCACAAACUUUGUCCGUGGUGUUUUGUGGAAUGAACAGUUAUUGGAAAAAAAAACAAGAUCCGUGUCAUGCGUGAAUUAACUCUUUAAUUAUAAUGUUUAUUAUGUAUCAAAAUUUAGGUUUGGA